This 497-nucleotide ribosomal RNA is filed under the name uncultured bacterium. RNAcentral's name for it is "partial 16S ribosomal RNA". It matches the Rfam family "Bacterial small subunit ribosomal RNA", at positions 28 to 507 of the family's 1533-position model. The record is from RNAcentral.
GAUGAACGCUGGCGGCGUGCCUAAUACAUGCAAGUCGAGCGAAAAGACGAGGAGCUUGCUCCUCUGACGUUAGCGGAGGACGGGUGAGUAACACGUGGAUAACCUACCUAUAAGACUGGGAUCACUUCGGGAAACCGGAGCUAAUACCGGAUAAUAUAUUGAACCGCAUGGUUCAAUAGUGAAAGACGGCUUUGCUGUCACUUAUAGAUGGAUCUGAGCCGCAUUAGCUAGUUGGUAAGGUAACGGCUUACCAAGGCGACGAUGCGUAGCCGACCUGAGAGAGUGAUCGGCCACACUGGAACUGGGACACGGUCCAGACUCCUACGGGAGGCAGCAGUAGGGAAUCGGCCGCAAUGGGCGAAAGCCUGACGGAGCAACGCCGCGUGAGUGAUGAAGGUCUUCGGAUCGUAAAACUCUGUUAUUAGGGAAGAACAAAUGUGUAAGUAACUAUGCACGUCUUGACGGUACCUAAUCAGAAAGCCACGGCUAACUACGUG